UCUCAGCUAAGCUCAAGGGCAAGAUUGGGA
This 30-nucleotide non-coding RNA is filed under the name Mus musculus (house mouse). Lineage: Eukaryota; Metazoa; Chordata; Mammalia; Rodentia; Muridae. The record is from RNAcentral.